Molecule: ribosomal RNA, 560 nt
Filed under: uncultured bacterium
Lineage: Bacteria
Description: bacterial SSU rRNA
Rfam family: Bacterial small subunit ribosomal RNA
Source: RNAcentral
GAAACUCGGGCUAAUACCGCAUACGACCUCAGCACUGCGGUGCUGAGAGGAAAGCUAGCCAAUUCUUGAAAGCUAGCGCUCUUAGAGGGGCCCGCGCCCGAUUAGCUAGUUGGUGAGGUAACGGCUCACCAAGGCGGUGAUCGGUAGCCGGCCUGAGAGGGCGAUCGGCCACACUGGGACUGAGACACGGCCCAGACUCCUACGGGAGGCAGCAGUGGGGAAUAUUGGACAAUGGGCGCAAGCCUGAUCCAGCAACGCCGCGUGGAGGACGAAGGCCUUCGGGUCGUAAACUCCUGUCAGUUGGGACGAAAAGUCGUCGGUCAAUAGCCGGCGAUCAUGACGGUACCAGCAGAGGAAGCCCCGGCUAACUCCGUGCCAGCAGCCGCGGUAAUACGGAGGGGGCUAGCGUUAUUCGGAAUUAUUGGGCGUAAAGGGCGCGUAGGCGGCUUGGUAGGUCAAAGGUGAAAUCCCUCAGCUCAACUGAGGAACUGCCUUUGAAACCACCUCGCUUGAGGCUGGGAGGGGGUAGCGGAAUUCCCGGUGUAGCGGUGAAAUGCGUA